ACAAACACUCAAAUCUGAAACAAUAUUCUAAAUGCAAUAUGCACUUGUCAUUCCAGUAAGCUCCGAAAUCAUUUGUCCAUGUCUCUCCAUUGCCAAAACAGGGAUUGUCUGCACUAUGGCUAUAUAUCCGAUCACUGGGGGUGGAACCAUGGAGGAAAAGGAGGAUGGUAACAUGCCCCAUGUGGAUAUGGUGGUGGUUGGUGUAGCAGUGGUGGUGGUUGGUUUAGCAGCGGCGGUGGCAGUAGCAUUGAUGCUGGGCAAUAGGCAUGAGGAGCUGGAGCAGGAGGAUAAUGACUGGAAUAUUGGGUUCCAUGAGAUGGGUAGCUAACUUGGGCAGCAUGGUAAGUUUCCUGGGGACUAUCUUCCAAUUCUAUAGAUGGAUAGUAAACUCCAAGAGAUGAGCUCUCAACUUCGGAUGUGGGAUAUUGAAUCUCAGGAGACUG
RNAcentral lists this unclassified non-coding RNA (443 nucleotides) under Hevea brasiliensis (rubber tree). The record is from RNAcentral. Lineage: Eukaryota; Viridiplantae; Streptophyta; Magnoliopsida; Malpighiales; Euphorbiaceae.